This 1342-nucleotide ribosomal RNA is filed under the name uncultured bacterium. Its description in RNAcentral is "16S ribosomal RNA". It matches the Rfam family "Bacterial small subunit ribosomal RNA", at positions 28 to 1378 of the family's 1533-position model. The record is from RNAcentral.
GACGAACGCUGGCGGCGUGCUUAACACAUGCAAGUCGAACGGAAAGGCCCUGCUUUUGUGGGGUGCUCGAGUGGCGAACGGGUGAGUAACACGUGAGUAACCUGCCCUUGACUUUGGGAUAACUUCAGGAAACUGGGCUAAUACCGGAUAGGAGCUCCUGCUGCAUGGUGGGGGUUGGAAAGUUUCGGCGGUUGGGGAUGGACUCGCGGCUUAUCAGCUUGUUGGUGGGGUAGUGGCUUACCAAGGCUUUGACGGGUAGCCGGCCUGAGAGGGUGACCGGCCACAUUGGGACUGAGAUACGGCCCAGACUCCUACGGGAGGCAGCAGUGGGGAAUAUUGCACAAUGGGCGGAAGCCUGAUGCAGCAACGCCGCGUGCGGGAUGACGGCCUUCGGGUUGUAAACCGCUUUCGCCUGUGACGAAGCGUGAGUGACGGUAAUGGGUAAAGAAGCACCGGCUAACUACGUGCCAGCAGCCGCGGUGAUACGUAGGGUGCGAGCGUUGUCCGGAUUUAUUGGGCGUAAAGGGCUCGUAGGUGGUUGAUCGCGUCGGAAGUGUAAUCUUGGGGCUUAACCCUGAGCGUGCUUUCGAUACGGGUUGACUUGAGGAAGGUAGGGGAGAAUGGAAUUCCUGGUGGAGCGGUGGAAUGCGCAGAUAUCAGGAGGAACACCAGUGGCGAAGGCGGUUCUCUGGGCCUUUCCUGACGCUGAGGAGCGAAAGCGUGGGGAGCGAACAGGCUUAGAUACCCUGGUAGUCCACGCUGUAAACGGUGGGUACUAGGUGUGGGGUCCAUUCCACGGGUUCCGUGCCGUAGCUAACGCUUUAAGUACCCCGCCUGGGGAGUACGGCCGCAAGGCUAAAACUCAAAGGAAUUGACGGGGCCCCGCACAAGCGGCGGAGCAUGCGGAUUAAUUCGAUGCAACGCGUAGAACCUUACCUGGGUUUGACAUGGAUCGGGAGUGCUCAGAGAUGGGUGUGCCUCUUUUGGGGUCGGUUCACAGGUGGUGCAUGGCUGUCGUCAGCUCGUGUCGUGAGAUGUUGGGUUAAGUCCCGCAACGAGCGCAACCCUUGUUCACUGUUGCCAGCACGUUAUGGUGGGGACUCAGUGGAGACCGCCGGGGUCAACUCGGAGGAAGGUGGGGAUGACGUCAAGUCAUCAUGCCCCUUAUGUCCAGGGCUUCACGCAUGCUACAAUGGCUGGUACAGAGAGUGGCGAGCCUGUGAGGGUGAGCGAAUCUCGGAAAGCCGGUCUCAGUUCGGAUUGGGGUCUGCAACUCGACCUCAUGAAGUCGGAGUCGCUAGUAAUCGCAGAUCAGCAACGCUGCGGUGAAUACGUUCCCGGG